Molecule: ribosomal RNA, 431 nt
Filed under: uncultured bacterium
Lineage: Bacteria
Description: partial 16S ribosomal RNA
Rfam family: Bacterial small subunit ribosomal RNA
Source: RNAcentral
AACGAACGCUGGCGGCAGGCUUAACACAUGCAAGUCGAGCGCCCCGCAAGGGGAGCGGCAGACGGGUGAGUAACGCGUGGGAACGUACCUUUUGGUUCGGAACAACUCCGGGAAACUGGAGCUAAUACCGGAUAAGCCCUAACGGGGAAAGAUUUAUCGCCGAACGAUCGGCCCGCGUCUGAUUAGCUAGUUGGUGAGGUAACGGCUCACCAAGGCGACGAUCAGUAGCUGGUCUGAGAGGAUGAUCAGCCACACUGGGACUGAGACACGGCCCAGACUCCUACGGGAGGCAGCAGUGGGGAAUAUUGGACAAGGGGCGCAAGCCUGAUCCAGCCAUGCCGCGGGAGUGAUGAAGGCCUUAGGGUUGUAAAGCUCUUUUGUCCGGGAAGAUAAUGACUGUACCGGAAGAAUAAGCCCCGGCUAGCUUCGUG